GAUAAACGCUGGCGGCGUGCCUAACACAUGCAAGUCGAACGCCCUGGAGCAAUUCAGGGAGUGGCGGACGGGUGAGGAACACGUGGGUGAUCUACCUUGAGGUGAGGAAUACCGGCGAGAAAUCGCCGACAAUACCGCAUACGUUCGUAAGAACAAAGUCGCAAGACGCCUGAAGAUGAGCCUGCGUCCGAUUAGCCAGUUGGUGGGGUAAUGGCCUACCAAAGCAGCGAUCGGUAGCUGGUCUGAGAGGACGAUCAGCCACACUGGGAUUGAGAACGGCCCAGACUCCUACGGGGG
RNAcentral lists this ribosomal RNA (297 nucleotides) under uncultured bacterium. RNAcentral's name for it is "partial 16S ribosomal RNA". It matches the Rfam family "Bacterial small subunit ribosomal RNA", at positions 28 to 347 of the family's 1533-position model. The record is from RNAcentral.